RNAcentral lists this ribosomal RNA (186 nucleotides) under uncultured bacterium. RNAcentral describes it as "partial 16S ribosomal RNA". It matches the Rfam family "Bacterial small subunit ribosomal RNA", at positions 521 to 706 of the family's 1533-position model. The record is from RNAcentral.
UAAUACAGAGGGUGCGAGCGUUAAUCGGAAUUACUGGGCGUAAAGCGCGCGUAGGCGGCUUUUCAAGUCGAUUGUGAAAUCCCCGGGCUUAACCUGGGAACUGCAGUCGAGACUGUCUAGCUAGAGUAUGGGAGAGGGAAGUGGAAUUUCAGGUGUAGCGGUGAAAUGCGUAGAUAUCUGAAGGAA